GGCGGAUCCUAUUCCAGGGGUUGGAACCCCCAUUUUUUUUGCCGAUCAAUGCAUUUGAAUGGGGACAUAUAGUUGGAACAUCCUCCCACCUAUGUCCUGGGUUGGGACCCCCCCCCCCCUUUUCAAAAUGGCUGGAUCCGCCCCUGCUUCUUGUAUAUAUUAACUUUAUGUUUUACAUUGUGUACUUGAUAUUCCCGAUUUAGUAUACACAUUUAUGAUAUAAUUGGUUUACAGCUUUUAAAAAAGUAUUUCUUGACGAUCCCUGCCAAUUUAAGUGUUUGAAUUUUAUUUGAAAAAUACUGAGCACGCAAAAUAAGCAUUUGAAAAUCACGAU
This 334-nucleotide long non-coding RNA is filed under the name Mytilus galloprovincialis (Mediterranean mussel). The record is from RNAcentral. Lineage: Eukaryota; Metazoa; Mollusca; Bivalvia; Mytilida; Mytilidae.